Molecule: non-coding RNA, 46 nt
Organism: Reticulomyxa filosa
Lineage: Eukaryota; Foraminifera; Reticulomyxidae
Source: Rfam
AACCAGGUGUUUUUUAACACCACCAAAUUAUUUUGUUUUCUUAUUU